Molecule: non-coding RNA, 28 nt
Filed under: Mus musculus (house mouse)
Lineage: Eukaryota; Metazoa; Chordata; Mammalia; Rodentia; Muridae
Source: RNAcentral
UGCGUAGGGCUAGUGCUGUGUUAUUCAA